RNAcentral lists this ribosomal RNA (774 nucleotides) under uncultured Neocallimastigales. Its description in RNAcentral is "partial large subunit ribosomal RNA". It matches the Rfam family "Eukaryotic large subunit ribosomal RNA", at positions 26 to 621 of the family's 3401-position model. Lineage: Eukaryota; Fungi; Neocallimastigomycota; Neocallimastigomycetes; Neocallimastigales. The record is from RNAcentral.
CGCAUCUGUGCAUGCAGCAUAUCAAUAAGCGGAGGAAAAGAAACUAACAAGGAUUCCCUUAGUAACGGCGAGUGAAGCGGGAAGAGCUCAAAUUUGAAAUCUUCAAGGUUUUACCUUGACGAAUUGUAGUUUAAAGAAGUGUUUUCUGUUGAAGUUUUGGUAAAAGUUCUUUGGAAUAGGACAUCAUAGAGGGUGAGAAUCCCGUAUUUGACCAUUAUUUUCAGCUGUGUGAUACACUUUCAAAGAGUCGGAUUGUUUGGGAAUGCAGUCCAAAAUGGGUGGUAAAUUUCAUCUAAAGCUAAAUAUUGGCGAGAGACCGAUAGCGAACAAGUACCGUGAGGGAAAGAUGAAAAGAACUUUGAAAAGAGAGUUAACCAGUACGUGAAAUUGUCAAAAGGGAAGCGUUUGACACCAGUGUUGUUUUCUCGAAAAUCAAUUAAAAAGAGUUUGAUUUUGUUGUGUAUUGACCUUAACAGCUUGCAUUUCAAUUUUCUUGCUUUUUUUAAUGCACUUUUCGUUUAACAAGUCAACAUCAGUUUCUUUUGUUGUAAAAAGGUCAUUGGAAGGUGGCUUUCUUUUCGGAGAAAGUGUUUAUAGCCUUUGACUCCUGCAAUCGGAGAGACUGAGGUCUGCAGCGUAGAUCCUUCGGGGUUAGAUACAUUUGUGCUAAGUUAUAGCUUUUUAUAGACAACUUGUUGACUAUGAUUAGUCUUGUAGCUUACUCGCUUAUGCUAUUUUACCUACGCUUAGGAUGUUGAACUCUAUCACACACAG